AGAGUUUGAUCCUGGCUCAGAACGAACGCUGGCGGCGUGGAUAAGACAUGCAAGUCGAGCGCUGAUUUGAGGGUAGCAAUAUUUUCAAAUCGGAGCGGCGCAAGGGUGCGUAACACGUGGGAAUCUGCCUUGAAGUGUGGGAUAACUCCGAGAAAUCGGAGCUAAUACCGCAUGUGAUUGUAAAUUCAAAGUUGGGGACCGCAAGGCCUGACGCUUCACGAUGAGCCCGCGGCCUAUCAGCUAGUUGGUGAGGUAACGGCUCACCAAGGCUAAGACGGGUAGCUGGUCUGAGAGGACGACCAGCCACACUGGAACUGAGACACGGUCCAGACACCUACGGGUGGCAGCAGUCGAGAAUUUUUCUCAAUGGGCGAAAGCCUGAAGGAGCGACGCCGCGUGGGGGAUGAAUGGCUUCGGCCCGUAAACCCCUGUCAUUUGUGAACAAAUUGUUUCACCUAACACGUGAAGCAUUGAUUGUAACGGAAGAGGAAGGGACGGCUAACUCUGUGCCAGCAGCCGCGGUAAUACAGAGGUCCCAAGCGUUGUUCGGAUUCACUGGGCGUAAAGGGUGCGUAGGCGGCCAAGUAAGUUUGAUGUGAAAUCCCGCAGCUUAACUGCGGAACUGCAUUGAAUACUAUUUGGCUCGAGGAAUGGAGGGGAGACUGGAAUUCUCGGUGUAGCAGUGAAAUGCGUAGAUAUCGAGAGGAACACCAGUGGCGAAGGCGAGUCUCUAGACAUUUCCUGACGCUGAGGCACGAAAGCCAGGGGAGCAAACGGGAUUAGAUACCCUAGUAGUCC
Molecule: ribosomal RNA, 798 nt
Filed under: uncultured bacterium
Lineage: Bacteria
Description: bacterial SSU rRNA
Rfam family: Bacterial small subunit ribosomal RNA
Source: RNAcentral